AUAUCAAUAAGCGGAGGAAAAGAAACCAACAGGGAUUGCCUCAGUAACGGCGAGUGAAGCGGCAAGAGCUCAAAUUUGAAAGCUGGCCCCCUCGGGGUCCGCAUUGUAAUUUGCAGAGGAUGCUUCGGGAGUGGCCCCCAUCUAAGUGCUCUGGAACGGGCCGUCAUAGAGGGUGAGAAUCCCGUAUGGGAUGGGGUGUCCGCGACCAUGUGAAGCUCCUUCAACGAGUCGAGUUGUUUGGGAAUGCAGCUCUAAAUGGGUGGUAAAUUUCAUCUAAAGCUAAAUAUUGGCCGGAGACCGAUAGCGCACAAGUAGAGUGAUCGAAAGAUGAAAAGCACUUUGAAAAGAGAGUUAAAAAGCAC
This 362-nucleotide ribosomal RNA is filed under the name uncultured fungus. RNAcentral describes it as "eukaryotic LSU rRNA". It matches the Rfam family "Eukaryotic large subunit ribosomal RNA", at positions 40 to 398 of the family's 3401-position model. Lineage: Eukaryota; Fungi. The record is from RNAcentral.